RNAcentral lists this transfer RNA (73 nucleotides) under Dipodomys ordii (Ord's kangaroo rat). It matches the Rfam family "tRNA". From Rfam's summary of the family: Transfer RNA (tRNA) molecules are approximately 80 nucleotides in length. Their secondary structure includes four short double-helical elements and three loops (D, anti-codon, and T loops). The record is from Rfam by way of RNAcentral. Lineage: Eukaryota; Metazoa; Chordata; Mammalia; Rodentia; Heteromyidae.
GUAAGUGUGGCUCAAGUGGUAGAGCUCCUGUCUGUCAAGCACAAGGCCCUGUGUUCAAAUCCUAGUACUGCCA